GACGAACGCUGGCGGCGUGCCUAAUACAUGCAAGUCGAACGCAGUGGGGACGGGUGAGUAACACCUGGGUAACCUCCCAUCAGAGGGGAUAACACUUGGAAACAGGUGCUAAACCGAUACUGAUGGAUGGACCAGCGGUGCAUUAGCUAGUUGGUGGGGUAACGGCUCACCAAGGCGACGAUGCAUAGCGGACCUGAGAGGGUGACCGGCCACACUGGGACUGAGACACGGCCCAGACUCCUACGGGAGGCAGCAGUGGGGAAUAUUGUGCAAUGGACGAAAGUCUGACCGAGCAACGCCGCGUGAGUGAAGAAGGUUUUCGGGUCGUAAAACUCUGUUGUUGGGGAAGCGGUAUUUAACCAGGAAGCCACGGCUAACUACGUGCCAGCAGCCGCGGUAAUUC
RNAcentral lists this ribosomal RNA (403 nucleotides) under uncultured bacterium. RNAcentral describes it as "partial 16S ribosomal RNA". It matches the Rfam family "Bacterial small subunit ribosomal RNA", at positions 28 to 526 of the family's 1533-position model. The record is from RNAcentral.